RNAcentral lists this ribosomal RNA (435 nucleotides) under uncultured bacterium. RNAcentral describes it as "bacterial SSU rRNA". It matches the Rfam family "Bacterial small subunit ribosomal RNA", at positions 355 to 786 of the family's 1533-position model. The record is from RNAcentral.
UGAGGAAUAUUGGUCAAUGGGCGGGAGCCUGAACCAGCCAAGCCGCGUGAGGGAGGAAGGCCCUAUGGGUCGUAAACCUCUUUUGUCAGGGAACAAAAGCGAGUAUGUAUACUAGUCUGAGUGUACCUGAAGAAAAACGCAUCGGCUAACUCCGUGCCAGCAGCCGCGGUAAUACGGAGGAUGCGAGCGUUAUCCGGAUUUAUUGGGUUUAAAGGGUGCAUAGGCGGCGGUGCAAGUCAGCGGUAAAAGGCCCGGGGCUCAACCCCGGCGAGCCGUUGAAACUGCAGUGCUAGAGAAGGCGAGAGGUACGCGGAAUGCGCAGUGUAGCGGUGAAAUGCUUAGAUAUUGCGCAGAACUCCGAUUGCGAAGGCAGCGUACUGGCGCCUGACUGACGCUGAGGCACGAAAGCGUGGGGAUCGAACAGGAUUAGAUACC